This is a long non-coding RNA of Nerophis ophidion (straightnose pipefish), 371 nucleotides long. RefSeq lists it as uncharacterized. NCBI's taxonomy places the organism in Eukaryota, Metazoa, Chordata, Actinopteri, Syngnathiformes, Syngnathidae. The record is from RefSeq and is a predicted model, not a curated record. The transcript has 4 exons.
CAUGCGUGCUGAAGUACUUCCUUUCCAGUCCAGCAAGCAAGUCUAAGAGCGAAGAUUUGAAUUGGAAAUCGAACUAUUUCACUGCGAAGAAAACCAUCGAUGUCCAUAAAGAUUCAGAAAUUGGAGACAGUGGAGGAACUACUCGACCUUGACGAGUUGAUAAAAACUCAACCAAGCAAGAAAGAUUUGCUGACAGCCAGGCUCUCAAAGAUUGGUGGAUAUGACUUAAAGAGCUGUUUAAGCACCAUCAUGGACAGGCUCAUGACAAAUGAAUUAAUGUCCAAUCUGAACAUGAAGGGGAGAGGGGGAAAAAAAUAGCUUUGCCAAGACAAAGCUGCUCGAUUUAGUCACAGGUGAGUUUGUGUGUGUGU